GUGUCAGCAGCCGCGGUAAAACGUAGGAGGCGAGCGUUAUCCGGAUUUACUGGGUGUAAAGCGCGUGCAGGCGGUCUGUUAAGUUGGAUGUGAAAGCUCCCGGCUCAACUGGGAGAGGUCGUUCAAGACUGGCAGACUGGAGAGCAGUAGGGGAAGGUGGAAUUCCGGGUGUAGUGGUGAAAUGCGUAGAUAUCCGGAGGAACACCAGUGGCGAAGGCGGCCUUCUGGACUGCAUCUGACGCUCAGACGCGAAAGCUAGGGGAGCAAACGGGAUUAGAUACCCGCGUAGUCC
Molecule: ribosomal RNA, 292 nt
Filed under: uncultured bacterium
Lineage: Bacteria
Description: partial 16S ribosomal RNA
Rfam family: Bacterial small subunit ribosomal RNA
Source: RNAcentral